This 581-nucleotide long non-coding RNA is filed under the name Cucumis sativus (cucumber). Its description in RNAcentral is "long non-coding RNA (CSAT_LNC002531)". The record is from RNAcentral. Lineage: Eukaryota; Viridiplantae; Streptophyta; Magnoliopsida; Cucurbitales; Cucurbitaceae.
CCCUCUGGCAAGGAAGAUUAGCCUGCACUUCUUCUGUUCCAUUCACUCUUUCCAUCUCUUGUGAUUGCGUGGUGUAGAAACCAAGUGGGUCGAUGGAAGUACUUCUCGGGCUCUUGCGAUCCUGUCCUUCGGACUUCUUGCUGUCUGAGUCCGAAACUGCACCUACAAUGAAUUGAUCUGCAAGCAUUUUACAAGCUCUCUCAAGCAUGGCCAAAUAUCUUCGCUCGGCAUCCUGACGAAUUUGUAGGUGCUUCUCUGCCUGCCCAACGAUGGUAAGGUAAGCUAGCUGAAGAAUGGACCCCAAGUCUCAGUAUUAACACUUGGAACUUGGAAGUUCCUAUCCUAUCAGCAGGUACAGAAAUCUCCAUCGCCAGUUUUUUUAUCAGUAAUUCUAAACAUACUCGAUCAUGAGGACAAUCAACUAAGCAAGCAAUCUAAAAACCACAAACUUAUAUGCCUUUUCACCAUUAAAAUUAUGUUUAGGACCCACUCCAGUAUUCACUAACAAGUUUGGUUCUUCGUGGAGUCUUGUCCAGAACAAUCAUCAAUUUCCAUUUUGAUGUUAAGGAUGAAAAUUUUAC